RNAcentral lists this ribosomal RNA (468 nucleotides) under uncultured bacterium. Its description in RNAcentral is "partial 16S ribosomal RNA". It matches the Rfam family "Bacterial small subunit ribosomal RNA", at positions 28 to 507 of the family's 1533-position model. The record is from RNAcentral.
GACGAACGCUGGCGGCGUGCUUAACACAUGCAAGUCGAACGGAAAGGCCCUGCUUUUGUGGGUUGCUCGAUAGGCGAACGGGUGAGUAACACGUGAGUAAAAUGCACUUAACUUUCGGAUAAAUUCAGGAAACAGGGGCUAAUAUCGGAUAGGAGCUACUGCUGCAUGGUGGGGGAUAGAAAGUUUCGGCGGUUCGGGAUGGUCUCGCGGGUUAUCCGCUUGAUGGUGGGGUAGUGGCUGACAAAGGUUUUGACGGGUAGCCGGCCUGGGAGGGUGACCGGGCACAUGGGGCCUGAGAGACGGCCCAGACGCCUACGGGAGGCAGCAGUGGGGAAUAUUGCAGAGUGGGCGGAAGCCUGAUGCAGCAGUGCUGGGUUCGGGAUAACGGGUUUUGGGGGGAAAACCGCUUUGUCAUUUGAUGAGGAGUGAGUGACGGUAAUUGGUAAAGAAGCAACGGCUAACUACGUG